RNAcentral lists this ribosomal RNA (462 nucleotides) under uncultured bacterium. RNAcentral describes it as "partial 16S ribosomal RNA". It matches the Rfam family "Bacterial small subunit ribosomal RNA", at positions 338 to 795 of the family's 1533-position model. The record is from RNAcentral.
CCUACGGGAGGCAGCAGUGAGGAAUAUUGGUCAAUGGACGCAAGUCUGAACCAGCCAAGUAGCGUGCAGGAUGACGGCCCUCCGGGUUGUAAACUGCUUUUAGUUGGGAAUAAAAGGGGGCUCGUGAGCCCCGUAUUGUAUGUACCAUCAGAAAAAGGACCGGCUAAUUCCGUGCCAGCAGCCGCGGUAAUACGGAAGGUCCGGGCGUUAUCCGGAUUUAUUGGGUUUAAAGGGCGUGCAGCCGGAGAGACAAGUCAGAUGUGAAAUCCACGGGCUCAACCCGUGAACUGCAUUUGAAACUGUUUCCGUUGAGUGUCGGAGAGGUAAUCGGAAUGCCUUGUGUAGCGGUGAAAUGCGUAGAUAUAAGGAAGAACACCAGUGGCGAAGGCGGAUUACUGGACGAUAACUGACGGUGAGGCGCGAAAGCGUGGGGAGCAAACAGGAUUAGAUACCCCUGUAGUC